RNAcentral lists this ribosomal RNA (309 nucleotides) under uncultured bacterium. RNAcentral describes it as "bacterial SSU rRNA". It matches the Rfam family "Bacterial small subunit ribosomal RNA", at positions 28 to 334 of the family's 1533-position model. The record is from RNAcentral.
GACGAACGCUGGCGGCACGCCUAGCACAUGCAAGUCGAACGGACGAGAAAGAGCUUGCUCUUUCGAGUUAGUGGCGGACGGGUGAGUAACACGUGAGCAACCUGCCUCUGAGAGUGGAAUAACGUACUGAAAAGGACGCUAAUACCGCAUAACAUAUAUUUGCCGCAUGACAGAUAUAUCAAAGAUUUAUCGCUCAGAGAUGGGCUCGCGUCUGAUUAGCUAGAUGGUGAGGUAACGGCCCACCAUGGCAACGAUCAGUAGCCGGACUGAGAGGUUGAACGGCCACAUUGGGACUGAGACACGGCCCAG